Molecule: ribosomal RNA, 841 nt
Filed under: uncultured Piloderma
Lineage: Eukaryota; Fungi; Basidiomycota; Agaricomycetes; Atheliales; Atheliaceae
Description: eukaryotic LSU rRNA
Rfam family: 5.8S ribosomal RNA (bases 311-465)
Source: RNAcentral
CUUUGGGGAGCCGGCGACGGCACCCUAUCGCUGAGAAGCUGAUCAAACUUGGGUCAUUUAGAGGAAGUAAAAGUCGUAACAAGGUUUCCGUAGGUGAACCUGCGGAAGGAUCAUUAUUGAAAUUAUAGGUGACGGUUGUAGCUGGCCUUUCUGGGGCAUGUGCACGCCCGAGACCCUUAAUCCACACACCCCUGUGAACCCAAUGUAAGGGCCCGUAAAAAAGGCCUUUAUGUCUCAUCACCAACCUUUUAUGUCUCAUAGAAUGUAAAUCUAUAUCCUCGCCUUAAAAAAGCGUUGAUAAAACUUAUACAACUUUCAACAACGGAUCUCUUGGCUCUCGCAUCGAUGAAGAACGCAGCGAAAUGCGAUAAGUAAUGUGAAUUGCAGAUUUUCAGUGAAUCAUCGAAUCUUUGAACGCACCUUGCGCUCCUUGGUAUUCCGAGGAGCAUGCCUGUUUGAGUGUCAUUAAAUUCUCAACUCCGAAUCGAUUUGUUUCGACUCGGAGCUUGGACUUUGGAGUGUGCUGGCGUCUGUCGGCUCCUCUUAAAUGCAUCAGCGGAAUAUAACCCCGGACAUCAGUGUGAUAAUYGUGUUGCGCUGUCGUCAGAGGUAUAAAAGUCCGCUCAUAAUGGUCUUCGGACAAACUUUACAAUCAAAUUUGACCUCAAAUCAGGUAGGACUACCCGCUGAACUUAAGCAUAUCAAUACAGCGGAGGAAAAGAAACUAACAAGGAUUCCCCUAGUAACUGCGAGUGAAGCGGGAAAAGCUCAAAUUUAAAAUCUGAUGGUCUCGCGGCCGUCGAGUUGUAAUCUGGAGAAGCGUUUAUCCGCGUCGGACCGU